RNAcentral lists this ribosomal RNA (861 nucleotides) under Pseudopestalotiopsis sp. RNAcentral's name for it is "LSU rRNA". It matches the Rfam family "Eukaryotic large subunit ribosomal RNA", at positions 69 to 955 of the family's 3401-position model. Lineage: Eukaryota; Fungi; Ascomycota; Sordariomycetes; Amphisphaeriales; Sporocadaceae. The record is from RNAcentral.
CAGGGAUUGCCUUAGUAACGGCGAGUGAAGCGGCAACAGCUCAAAUUUGAAAUCUGGCCCUUGGGUCCGAAUUGUAAUUUGUAGAGGAUGAUUUUGGUGCGGUAUCUUCCGAGUUCCUUGGAACAGGACGCCUUAGAGGGUGAGAGCCCCGUACGGUUGAAUGCCUAGCCUCUGUAAAUCUCCUUCGACGAGUCGAGUAGUUUGGGAAUGCUGCUCUAAAUGGGAGGUAAAUUUCUUCUAAAGCUAAAUAUUGGCCAGAGACCGAUAGCGCACAAGUAGAGUGAUCGAAAGAUGAAAAGCACUUUGAAAAGAGGGUUAAAUAGCACGUGAAAUUGUUGAAAGGGAAGGAUUUGUGACCAGACUUUUUCUGGGCGGAUCAUCCGGGGUUCUCUCCGGUGCACUUUGCCCAGUAAAGGCCAGCAUCGGUUUUCGGCGGGGGAUAAAAGCAGUAGGAAUGUGGCUCUCUACGGGGAGUGUUAUAGCCUAUUGUAUAAUACCCUGCUGGGGACCGAGGUACGCGCUUCUGCAAGGAUGCUGGCGUAAUGGUUAUCAAUCACCCGUCUUGAAACACGGACCAAGGAGUCGAACAUUUGUGCGAGUGUUUGGGUGUUAAACCCUCACGCGUAAUGAAAGUGAACGGAGGUGAGAGCCCUUACGGGUGCAUCAUCGACCGAUCCUGAAGUUUUCGGAUGGAUUUGAGUAAGAGCAUAACUGUUCGGACCCGAAAGAUGGUGAACUAUGCGUGGAUAGGGUGAAGCCAGAGGAAACUCUGGUGGAGGCUCGCAGCGGUUCUGACGUGCAAAUCGAUCGUCAAAUCUGCGCAUGGGGGCGAAAGACUAAUCGAACCAUCUAGUAGCUGGU